AAGGGCACCACAAGAACGCGUGGAGCAUGUGGCUUAAUUUGACUCAACGCGGGAAAUCUUACCGGGUCCGGACACACUGAGGAUUGACAGGCAAUAUUAAUACGUGUUCGCACGUAUUAUGUUAAAUAUGCUAGUCCUUUCAUGAUUAUGUGAUAGGUGGUGCAUGGCCGUUCUUAGUUCGUGGAGUGAUCUGUCUGCUUAAUUGCGUUUCACUAAGGGCCUAUAAAUUUACGUGUGUUGCGGCACUUUGACCCCUUUCUUCGGAAAGCGCGUGUCUUAGUUUGCUUUGCUCACACAAUUAGGUCCUGAAAGCAACGAACGUGACCGCAACCUCUUGUUGCCUUUAUACCAAACAUGUUUGUCAUUUUUAUGGCAUUCAUGAAAAAAGGCUUUUUAAACUAGAGGGACCGCUGUUACUUUCUUAAACCAGAGGAAGGUUGCGGCAAUAACAGGUCUGUGAUGCCCUUAGAUGUUCCGGGCUGCACACGUGCUACAAUGAUUAUUGCAGUGAGCAUCUCAUUUUUACACACCGCAUGCGCGAGUCCAUUUAUUCACUUCGGUGCUUUAAAUGUGUAUUUCUGCGCGCGGUAAAGCCUGCUUCGAAAGUAAGUGGGUAAUCAAUUAGAAGUAAUGAUUUCCUUUUUAGCACACAUAUAUACGGCGUCUAUACCCGGGUUACCUUGUUGUAACUUUUGUGUGUAUAGAUGUUUUUUCCGUAUGUGCGAUUGUCAAUUCAUGGUGGGGACAGACCAUUGUUAAUUGUUGGUCUCGGUCUUAACUAGGAAUGCCUUGUACGGGUCUUUGGUUCAACAAACCACCCGGAAUACGUCCCUGCCCUUUGUACACACCGCCCGUCGCUCUUACCGAUGGACUUCUCUGUGAGUUUGAGGGACUGGGAACGCAGAAUUUAUUCUGCACACCUAUGGAAACUUAAACGAACAGUGUGGUCUAAAGGAAAGAGAAGUCGUAACAAGGCAUCGGUAGGUGAACCUGCAGAAGGAUCA
Molecule: ribosomal RNA, 1004 nt
Filed under: Cibicides malboroughensis
Lineage: Eukaryota; Foraminifera; Rotaliida; Cibicididae
Description: SSU rRNA
Rfam family: Eukaryotic small subunit ribosomal RNA
Source: RNAcentral